This 323-nucleotide small nuclear RNA is filed under the name Phascolarctos cinereus (koala). RNAcentral's name for it is "7SK RNA (ENSPCIG00000030681.1)". It matches the Rfam family "7SK RNA". From Rfam's summary of the family: 7SK was discovered as an abundant small nuclear RNA in the mid-70s but a possible function has only recently been suggested. The record is from Rfam by way of RNAcentral. Lineage: Eukaryota; Metazoa; Chordata; Mammalia; Diprotodontia; Phascolarctidae.
GGAUAUGAUGGCUAUCUGGCUACGACAUCUGUCAUCCCAUUGAUCACCAGGGUUUAUUCAGGUGGUCUGCAUGGUGAGGUGGGUGUUCCUUUCCUCACUUACUUCUCCACAUGCAUCCCUCCCGAAGCUUCGUGCUUGGUUGAACAGGACAACCUUCCCCAAUAGAGACAUACCAUUCUUCAGUCAACGGAAUAUGAGUAGCUGCCCUUCCCUGCUAGAAGAAGCUCCCAAGGUCCAUGUGUAGGAGAACACAGGAUAAUCAAGCUUCCAAAACUCCAGACACAUACAAAUGAGGUUCUGCACAUGGCAGUCUGCCUUCCUUU